RNAcentral lists this ribosomal RNA (213 nucleotides) under Providencia rettgeri. RNAcentral's name for it is "partial 23S ribosomal RNA". Lineage: Bacteria; Pseudomonadati; Pseudomonadota; Gammaproteobacteria; Enterobacterales; Morganellaceae. The record is from RNAcentral.
GGUUAAGCGACUAAGCGUACACGGUGGAUGCCUAGGCAAUCAGAGGCGAUGAAGGACGUGCUAAUCUGCGAUAAGCGUCGGUAAGGUGAUAUGAACCGUUACAACCGACGAUUUCCGAAUGGGGAAACCCAGUGCAAUYCGUUGCACUAUCGUUUGAUGAAUACAUAGUCAAACGAAGCGAACCGGGGGAACUGAAACAUCUCAGUACCCCGA